AAAAAAUUAGUUAAAGCUAUAACAUUAGUAUGUCAAACUAAAAUUAUUAAAUUUUUAAUAUUUUUUA
This 67-nucleotide transfer RNA is filed under the name Drosophila willistoni. RNAcentral's name for it is "tRNA-Asp". RNAcentral also lists the same sequence under 1 other name. The record is from RNAcentral. Lineage: Eukaryota; Metazoa; Arthropoda; Insecta; Diptera; Drosophilidae.